GAAAUUUGAGGUAUUAACCAUUUGUCUCUUCAAUGUGUUUUAAGUAGUGUAUGAGGAAACACUGAGACAAAUGGAAGGGAAAAUAAGUGAUUUAAGAGUGAUGGGAACUAUCCUAAACCCUACAAAUUCAAGGUUUCUCGGUGAAGCUAGAAUGAAGUUCAAGGCUGAGACCUGCAGCCAAGCAGAUAUCGCCCGUUAUUUACUACCUAGGCUUCAAUAGCACUUGAUAAUAGGGUUUGGUCUUGCCAACUUUGACAUUUAUUCGGAUCCGCCUGGGAGAUCAGGAGCCCAUCACAGGCACCCCCCACCUGCCCCAGGAGCUUCGGCAGGAGAAUUGCUUGAACUGGGAGGCCGAGGUUGCAGUGAGCCGAGAUCACACCAUUGCACUCCAGCCUGGGCAACAAGAGCGAAACUUCGUCUCAAAAAAAAAAAAAAAAAAAAGAAAAAGAAAAGAAAACAGAAAACAGCAGCCUUGGACAAGCACAAUGGGCAGACUAGAAUUGCAGUGCACAGAUACAAGAAUGUUGCCUGCUUUGGAGCCAAGACUGCCUUCCGGAUAAAGGGCCCACAGAGAGCUGAGAGCUGUGUAAUACCUCAAAGACUGAAGAAAAGAGUUAGACAGCCAUCUUUCCUUAGAGGAUUUUGCUGCAGACAGCUUGAACUACCAGAAGGUUAUAUACUGACCAUGGGUAGAGUAAGGAAGAAAUACAUCCUUCGGAAAGGACAAUGAAGAUCUUUACAGCAGGGAGGUGAGGACAAAGUGAUUCUCCCUUCUGGAGGAUGCAGCAAAGUGCUGCCUGCCAUCUUGGAAGCACAGAGUAGCCUUCACCACACUCUAAUCCCAUCAGAGCCUUGAUCUUGGACUUGCCAGCCUUCAGAACAGUCUUGCCUCAUCACUGCCAUGACAGGGGGGUCCAAUGUGAGGAUUCUGGUGUCUAUGCCAAGCAUCUCUUUUCCAACGUAGAUCUGAUUUCUUAACAUAGCCAACAGCAAGUCAACAUCAGCUUUGCAGAGAAAAGCAGGGAUGCGUGUGCACAAAGAAAAGGCCAUGUGAGGACAUAGCAAGAGGGAAGCUGUCCGCAAGCCAAGGAAAAAGGCCUCAGGAGAAACCAAAUCUGCCAAUACAUUGAUCUUGGACUUCCAGCAUUCAGAAAUGUGAGAAAAUAAAUAUCUGCUGUUUAAGCCACCAGUAUAUUAUAUUUGUUAUGGUAGCCUUAGCAAAGUAAGAUAGUUUGUGUUACUGCCUUCUUUUUGCAGAUAAAGCAAUUAUAUCUGAUAGGUAUUAUGUAACCAUAUUAGUCCCAUAGACAGUUGUUUUUGGAUAAACAUAGAAAUUGACCCUUCUGUUGUUAAAGCUUCAAACUUGUAUUUGCUUUAUCUGAGUUCCUUCCUCAGGAAAGGAUAUUCAGUUCUCUCAAAAAAGUAUCGAAGAACUGAAAUUCACUAGAUCACCAUACCAGAUAACUCCUUGCCCCUCCCUAGUUCCUGAUUUCUUAAACAUUGUUACAUUUCUUCCCUGCUGUAUAAAACCCUAGUUUUAAUCAGUCAGAGAGAUGAAUUUGAGACUGAACUCCCAUCUCCUUGCUGCGGCACCCGAUUAAAGCCUUCUCCCUUGGCAAUAUUUGUCUUCUCAGUGAUUGGCUUUCUGUGCAGCAAGCAGCAGGACCUAGACCAAACCCCUGGUAUUGUGGUAACAAACAACACACAUGCACACACAUAUACAUGCAAAUGACUGAUAAAAGAGAUAAAAGAAAGGAAAAGGAAAGCAGAAGGAGGAAGAUCAUCCAUGAAUCCAUUGAGAAUAGACACUGAUGAUCUAUUUGGUUUCUUUCUUUACCUAAUUCUUUAUCAUUAUAGCUUUUGUAUAUAAUGCUAGCUUUCUACCACAUCAUGUUAGGUUAUUUACCCAUUAUGUGAUCUUUCUUUUAAAUGUUUCUAUUUCUUUUCAUUAAAUGAAAUAAUUGUUAAAGGGGUGACUUCAAUUAACUUCUAGGCCUUCUAUAUAGUGUUGCAAAGGCCCAUAUUCUACAUCUAGGUUAAAUUUUCCUGUCUUUUGUUAUUUAAUUAUCUAGCAUAUGAGCAACAAAUAGGGAUCUGAAAGUGACUAUCUGUGUUGGGUUAUCCUUGGAAAAAUAACAUGACAAACAAAGGUAGAUUAGCCCACUGGUAACAAAAUUCAAAUGAGACAACUAUCCUGUUCCCCAAAUCAAAUAUUUCUCAAAAGCAAUCAAUGAUUAAUUAAAAGUAGUG
This 2250-nucleotide long non-coding RNA is filed under the name Homo sapiens (human). RNAcentral's name for it is "HSALNT0114324". The record is from RNAcentral. Lineage: Eukaryota; Metazoa; Chordata; Mammalia; Primates; Hominidae.